AGUUGGUCCAAGUAUUGUGGGUUGUUAAGCUGAUUUAACAUUGUCUCUCCCAUAACCAUGCUUGACUAGCUUGAA
Molecule: Y RNA, 75 nt
Organism: Callithrix jacchus (white-tufted-ear marmoset)
Lineage: Eukaryota; Metazoa; Chordata; Mammalia; Primates; Cebidae
Rfam family: Y RNA
About the family: Y RNAs are components of the Ro ribonucleoprotein particle (Ro RNP), in association with Ro60 and La proteins. The Y RNAs and Ro60 and La proteins are well conserved, but the function of the Ro RNP is not known. In humans the RNA component can be one of four small RNAs -- hY1, hY3, hY4 and hY5.
Source: Ensembl